GACUCUCGGCAACGGAUAUCUCGGCUCUCGCAUCGACGAAGAACGUAGCAAAAUGCAAUACCUGGUGUGAAUUGCAGAAUCCUGUGAACCAUCAAGUUUUUGAACGCAAGUUGCGCCCGAGGCCUUCCGGCCGAGGGCACGUCUGCCUGGGCGUCA
RNAcentral lists this ribosomal RNA (156 nucleotides) under Sorghum bicolor (sorghum). RNAcentral describes it as "rRNA 5_8S_rRNA". It matches the Rfam family "5.8S ribosomal RNA". Rfam says of the family: 5.8S ribosomal RNA (5.8S rRNA) is a component of the large subunit of the eukaryotic ribosome. It is transcribed by RNA polymerase I as part of the 45S precursor that also contains 18S and 28S rRNA. Functionally, it is thought that 5.8S rRNA may be involved in ribosome translocation. Lineage: Eukaryota; Viridiplantae; Streptophyta; Magnoliopsida; Poales; Poaceae. The record is from RNAcentral.